Long non-coding RNA from Bombus terrestris (buff-tailed bumblebee), 586 nucleotides. RefSeq lists it as uncharacterized. NCBI's taxonomy places the organism in Eukaryota, Metazoa, Arthropoda, Insecta, Hymenoptera, Apidae. The transcript is spliced from 2 exons. The record is from RefSeq and is a predicted model, not a curated record.
CGGCAAUUCACAAAAUAACCAUUCACUCACGUCUUCGAUUGGUACUUCUCUUCGCAUCGUUGCAAGAUCCACUUUGUUUCCCGCAACGACUAUCGGUACUUCCUGCCGCACAGUCAAAUAUGGAAACAAAUCAAUAUUAUUUUCAGUAUGGUACCUGAAAAUCUGGUCGUUGUUCUCUGACUUCUUCGAAACAUCGCUUUACGCAUUCGAAGCUUGGUAACGAUGUUGUGGCAUAAACAAGAAGAAACGCAUGUGCCGUAGCUAUGCUCAACCUUCUCAUAGCUGGAAACUGCAAAUCUCCUGAAAUCGUAUGAAAUGCGUUAUCUAUAUUGGUCCUUAUCAUUUUUAUAAUACAUAUAUACGUAUAUAUUAUAUAUAUAUUAUAUAUAUAUAAUACAUAUAUAACGUAAUGGCGAAAGAAGAGAAAACAUUUACCAGCGGUAUCCAGAAGAUCGACUUUGAGAGUGAGUGUACCGAGAACGCAUUCCCUCGAAUAGAGGUCUUCGACGGUAGGCCUAUACCUUUCGCUGAAUCCUUGCCCAAGUAAACGACGUAUAAUUGCGCUUUUCCCAACACCGGCACCACC